Molecule: ribosomal RNA, 1383 nt
Filed under: uncultured bacterium
Lineage: Bacteria
Description: partial 16S ribosomal RNA
Rfam family: Bacterial small subunit ribosomal RNA
Source: RNAcentral
GACGAACGCUGGCGGCGUGCCUAAUACAUGCAAGUCGAACGAACAGAUUUGACACCGAUGCUUGCAUCACCGUUAAAACUGUGAGUGGCGAACGGGUGAGUAACACGUGGGUAACCUGCCUAAAAGAGGGGGAUAACACUUGGAAACAGGUGCUAAUACCGCAUAACCAUGAUGACCGCAUGGUCAUUAUGUAAAAGAUGGUUUCGGCUAUCGCUUUUAGAUGGACCCGCGGCGUAUUAACUAGUUGGUAGGGUAACGGCCUACCAAGGUGAUGAUACGUAGCCGAACUGAGAGGUUGAUCGGCCACAUUGGGACUGAGACACGGCCCAAACUCCUACGGGAGGCAGCAGUAGGGAAUCUUCCACAAUGGACGAAAGUCUGAUGGAGCAACGCCGCGUGUGUGAAGAAGGUCUUCGGAUCGUAAAACACUGUUGUUAGAGAAGAAUACAAGUGAGAGUAACUGUUCACUUGCUGACGGUAUCUAACCAGAAAGUCACGGCUAACUACGUGCCAGCAGCCGCGGUAAUACGUAGGUGGCAAGCGUUGUCCGGAUUUAUUGGGCGUAAAGGGAACGCAGGCGGUUUUUUAAGUCUGAUGUGAAAGCCUUCGGCUUAACCGGAGUAGUGCAUUGGAAACUGGAAGACUUGAGUGCAGAAGAGGAGAGUGGAACUCCAUGUGUAGCGGUGAAAUGCGUAGAUAUAUGGAAGAACACCAGUGGCGAAAGCGGCUCUCUGGUCUGUAACUGACGCUGAGGUUCGAAAGCGUGGGUAGCAAACAGGAUUAGAUACCCUGGUAGUCCACGCCGUAAACGAUGUCGACUUGGAGGUUGUGCCCUUGAGGCGUGGCUUCCGGAGCUAACGCGUUAAGUCGACCGCCUGGGGAGUACGGCCGCAAGGUUAAAACUCAAAUGAAUUGACGGGGGCCCGCACAAGCGGUGGAGCAUGUGGUUUAAUUCGAUGCAACGCGAAGAACCUUACCUGGUCUUGACAUCCACAGAACUUUCCAGAGAUGGAUUGGUGCCUUCGGGAACUGUGAGACAGGUGCUGCAUGGCUGUCGUCAGCUCGUGUUGUGAAAUGUUGGGUUAAGUCCCGCAACGAGCGCAACCCUUAUCCUUUGUUGCCAGCGGUCCGGCCGGGAACUCAAAGGAGACUGCCAGUGAUAAACUGGAGGAAGGUGGGGAUGACGUCAAGUCAUCAUGGCCCUUACGACCAGGGCUACACACGUGCUACAAUGGCGCAUACAAAGAGAAGCGACCUCGCGAGAGCAAGCGGACCUCAUAAAGUGCGUCGUAGUCCGGAUUGGAGUCUGCAACUCGACUCCAUGAAGUCGGAAUCGCUAGUAAUCGUGGAUCAGAAUGCCACGGUGAAUACGUUCCCGGGCCU